CUGAAUAGUUUUCCUCUCCCUUCCUCCUUCCCCAUCGGCAAGCCCAAACACCUGCCCAGCGGCUGGUCCCGGAGUCUAAGGAGGUCACGUAGCAUCCCACCGGCCCCAACCUAACCUCUCCAGCUAUAUCUUCUUGACGUUCAAUGCCAGGGGUCGGCGCCCAGGAAGACCCCGCUCCACAGACUUGAUGAGCCUUCUACUCGAACUAAAAACGGCGGUCGCGGGAUGGGAGAGCGGAGCAGGGAUUGGCCAGUUAGAGGGAGAGUAUCAUCUCAUUUGAUCCAUUUUAUGAGUGCUGAAGCUUGAAGCUGAGAAUUGAACUGAAGUUGCUCCACUGACCUGGAUGCUGGAAUGGGCAACUGACUAUCCCAUAGACAUCCCAAACUCAACAUAUCAGAAACUAAGCUUAUUUUUCCCCUCAUCCCAAACUUUCUCACAUUUUCAAUAUCUCUCUGAGGGCAUCAGCAUCCUUCUAAUCAUCUAGAUUCAAAAUCUAGAUCUUAGCCUUGACUCCUCAUCAACUGUUACCUCAACAUAUUCAAUCAGUUCCCAAGCCUUGUUGAUUUUACAUGAAUGAAUAAAACAAAAUUAUUAAGCCCUUACUAUACACAAAGUGCUGAGGAGGCAAAUGAUUAAAAAAAAAAAAAAAAAAAAAAAAAAAAAAAAA
Sarcophilus harrisii (Tasmanian devil) is the source of this 667-nucleotide long non-coding RNA. RefSeq lists it as uncharacterized. NCBI's taxonomy places the organism in Eukaryota, Metazoa, Chordata, Mammalia, Dasyuromorphia, Dasyuridae. The record is from RefSeq and is a predicted model, not a curated record. The transcript is spliced from 2 exons.